AUGAAAUGAAUGUCAAGGGUUGUAGCUGGCCUCAUAGGGGCAUGUGCACACCUUGAUUGCUCAUCCACUUCUCACACCUGUGCACAACCUGUAGCUUGGGAUGAUCACGAAGUCGGAGACGACGUCGAAAGCCCUUGCUAUGAAUUUUUACACACAUGUAUAAAGUUAUAGAAUGUACAAAGUUAUAGCGUGUAGCAGCGCAAAUAAAUA
Molecule: unclassified non-coding RNA, 210 nt
Filed under: uncultured Thelephoraceae
Lineage: Eukaryota; Fungi; Basidiomycota; Agaricomycetes; Thelephorales; Thelephoraceae
Description: sequence contains ITS1
Source: RNAcentral